AUAAAAAGUCACGGAAAGCAACUGAAGAAGAUAACAACAAGUCUAUGUUUGCCCACAAGCGGCCAUUUUUGACGGCUUUGACAGGUCGUUGGAAUGCCUACUACAGAAAGUCUUUGAUGUUUCAUACAAGCAAAAUAGGAAGCUGAAAUGCAUUUUGUAUGUUUAUUUGGAUGAGAUUGACAAUUCUGACAAAAACGUUAUUGAACAGGUUUUAUUCCAGCAAUACUUGGGCUGUCUGAGCAACAAUACAAAAUUAAAACAGUUUGUUGUUUAUUAAUAACGAAAAUACUAGGUCUCAAAUUUCGUUCAGCUUGAAAUCUCCUCUAAUAAAUUCAUUUCAUGAA
Dendroctonus ponderosae (mountain pine beetle) is the source of this 344-nucleotide long non-coding RNA. RefSeq lists it as uncharacterized. Lineage: Eukaryota; Metazoa; Arthropoda; Insecta; Coleoptera; Curculionidae. The record is from RefSeq and is a predicted model, not a curated record. The transcript has 2 exons.